AGAACUUAGCAGAGAUGCUUGGUGCCUUCGGGAACUCUGAGACAGGUGCUGCAUGGCUGUCGUCAGCUCGUGUUGUGAAAUGUUGGGUUAAGUCCCGCAACGAGCGCAACCCUUAUCCUUUGUUGCCAGCGGCUCGGCCGGGAACUCAAAGGAGACUGCCGGUGAUAAACCGGAGGAAGGUGGGGAUGACGUCAAGUCAUCAUGGCCCUUACGGCCAGGGCUACACACGUGCUACAAUGGCGCAUACAAAGAGAAGCGACCUCGCGAGAGCAAGCGGACCUCACAAAGUGCGUCGUAGUCCGGAUUGGAGUCUGCAACUCGACUCCAUGAAGUCGGAAUCGCUAGUAAUCGUAGAUCAGAAUGCUACGGUGAAUACGUUCCCGGGCCUUGUACACACCGCCCGUCACACCAUGGGAGUGGGUUGCAAAAGAAGUAGGUAGCUUAACCUUCGGGAGGGCGCUUACCACUUUGUGAUUCAUGACUGGGGUGAAGUCGUAACAAGGUAGGCGUAGCGAG
Molecule: ribosomal RNA, 516 nt
Filed under: uncultured bacterium
Lineage: Bacteria
Description: bacterial SSU rRNA
Rfam family: Bacterial small subunit ribosomal RNA
Source: RNAcentral